Molecule: long non-coding RNA, 1118 nt
Organism: Aedes aegypti (yellow fever mosquito)
Lineage: Eukaryota; Metazoa; Arthropoda; Insecta; Diptera; Culicidae
Exons: 2
Source: RefSeq, a predicted model, not a curated record
CAGAAUCAUACCGGGAUGGAAUGAUCUACCUGAUGGUUUCGAGUAACUCAGUUCUGAUUAUUAAAUUUUCAAGGGGGUUAUCUUCAGAAAUUACAACAUAACUAAACAAAUCUAAUCACGCUCCUAAUUACUUUACAGCAGUCAUUUCCGAUAAUUUAUUGCUCCCUGGACGAUAAGAACUGAAACAUCUUCAGUAGGCGCAUUUGCGGGGCACCAGUAAACCUACUGUCGCUGCCAACUCAUCCAUUUCACCCAAACGGGAACAUAUGGAACAAUGGCAAUUCCCGAGUCAAAGAUAACCACGGAUAAUGACACUAAAUUUGUCGGAGAUGUAGGAUGGGAUGCUCUCGUUGUUGUCAUCAUAUAAAUCAAAGAAGGCUGGUUGCUUUGGAUAUCUAGCUGUGAGGAGAAAGACAUUAGGGGCUGUGCAUUGAUUACUGGACUGGACAACUGAUGGACCGGCAACGAUGGUGAAUGGUUCAGGAAGUCACACUUGUUCUACGACGACGACGGUGACGACGACACAAGCAGCUGAUAGCCACUCACUCAGCAGAUAGCUCGGACACGACGAGAAAAGAACCAUGAUGAGGGCCUCAAUUCAUAAAAAGAAUCGUGAUGAGCUUGGACCCGUCCCGGGUAAGAUAAGCUGAACACCAAUAACUCGUUAAUCAUUGCGUCAUCGUUCCCGUUAGCUUUAUGUGGUCUCUGCAACUGGUCAGUGAAGAAGGGUUGCUGCCUUUAACGAUGACAAUUUUAUGCAAAAAGAGUUGAUAACAACUUACGUCGACCUCCCAUAAAUGUUUGUUAUAAAACGGGUAAUUACCAGCAUUACUGAUAUCGAACCACAACAGGAGAAGUUACCCUACUCAUCAUGGUUUUUAAUUCUACUUGUUCCAGUCAAACAUGUGUAAAAGCAGUUGUUAAUGCUGUGGAUGUAUUUCCUCCGUGAUGGAUGAGCUAAACAGCUGGAACGUGGUGAACUAGGGCCACAUUGCAUCCAUGAGAAUAAGGUUAAGAAGAGCGGUGCAUCGGACAACCGGUUUGGCGAUAAGUAUAUUAAGGCAGUAGGAACAAAAACUUGUAAUAUGGCUGCACUUCGUAGUAAAACUAGUUAUUUA